Molecule: unclassified non-coding RNA, 302 nt
Filed under: plant metagenome
Description: partial contains 5.8S ribosomal RNA, internal transcribed spacer 2, and large subunit ribosomal RNA
Rfam family: 5.8S ribosomal RNA (bases 1-102)
Source: RNAcentral
AUGCGAUAAGUAGUGUGACUUGCAGAAUUCAGUGAAUCAUCGAAUCUUUGAACGCACAUUGCGCCCUUUGGUAUUCCAAAGGGCAUGCCUGUUCGAGCGUCAUUUGUACCCUCAAGCUUUGCUUGGUGUUGGGCGUCUUGUCUCCAGUUCGCUGGAGACUCGCCUUAAAGUAAUUGGCAGCCGGCCUACUGGUUUCGGAGCGCAGCACAAGUCGCGCUCUCUUCCAGCCAAGGUCAGCAUCCACAAAGCCUUUUUUCAACUUUUGACCUCGGAUCAGGUAGGGAUACCCGCUGAACUUAAGC